GGCCUCGUAGCUCAUCUGGUAGAGCGUGCGCUGUAUAAAAGCGUAGGCGGCGUCCACGCGUGGGUUCUAAUCCCAUAGAGGAUA
This is a non-coding RNA of Echinostoma caproni, 84 nucleotides long. The record is from Rfam. Lineage: Eukaryota; Metazoa; Platyhelminthes; Trematoda; Plagiorchiida; Echinostomatidae.